This 736-nucleotide ribosomal RNA is filed under the name uncultured bacterium. RNAcentral's name for it is "bacterial SSU rRNA". It matches the Rfam family "Bacterial small subunit ribosomal RNA", at positions 61 to 795 of the family's 1533-position model. The record is from RNAcentral.
GUCGAACGGUAGCAGGCCUUCGGGCGCUGACGAGUGGCGGACGGGUGAGUAACGCGUAGGAAUCUGCCUCAUAGUGGGGGACAACGUGGGGAAACCCACGCUAAUACCGCAUACGCCCUACGGGGGAAAGCGGGGGAUCGUAAGACCUCGCGCUAUGAGAUGAGCCUGCGUUAGAUUAGCUAGUUGGUAGGGUAAAGGCCUACCAAGGCGACGAUCUAUAGCUGGUCUGAGAGGACGAUCAGCCACACUGGGACUGAGACACGGCCCAGACUCCUACGGGAGGCAGCAGUGGGGAAUAUUGGACAAUGGGCGCAAGCCUGAUCCAGCAAUACCGCGUGUGUGAAGAAGGCCCUAGGGUUGUAAAGCACUUUCAAUGGGGAGGAAAACCUGCCGGUCAAUACCCGGUAGCUUGACAUUACCUAUAGAAGAAGCACCGGCUAACUCCGUGCCAGCAGCCGCGGUAAUACGGAGGGUGCGAGCGUUAAUCGGAAUUACUGGGCGUAAAGCGUGCGUAGGCGGCUCGUUAAGUCAGAUGUGAAAGCCCUGGGCUCAACCUGGGAACUGCGUUUGAAACUGGCGAGCUAGAGUUGAGUAGAGGGGAGUGGAAUUUCAGGUGUGGCGGUGAAAUGCGUAGAUAUCUGAAGGAACACCAGUGGCGAAGGCGACUCCCUGGACUCAAACUGACGCUGAGGUACGAAAGCGUGGGUAGCAAACAGGAUUAGAUACCCUGGUAGUC